RNAcentral lists this ribosomal RNA (430 nucleotides) under uncultured Acidobacteriota bacterium. Its description in RNAcentral is "bacterial SSU rRNA". It matches the Rfam family "Bacterial small subunit ribosomal RNA", at positions 355 to 776 of the family's 1533-position model. The record is from RNAcentral. Lineage: Bacteria; Pseudomonadati; Acidobacteriota.
UGGGGAAUUGUUCGCAAUGGGCGCAAGCCUGACGACGCAACGCCGCGUGGAGGAUGAAGGUCUUCGGAUUGUAAACUCCUGUUGAUCGGGAAGAAUGAGUCCCGGAUGAAUACUCCGGGGCAAUGACGGUACCGAUUGAGGAAGCCACGGCUAACUCUGUGCCAGCAGCCGCGGUAAUACAGAGGUGGCAAGCGUUGUUCGGAAUUACUGGGCGUAAAGGGCGCGUAGGUGGCCUUUUGAGUCAGACGUGAAAUCCCCCGGCUUAACCUGGGAACUGCGUCUGAUACUGGGAGGCUUGAGUUCGGGAGAGGGAUGUGGAAUUCCAGGUGUAGCGGUGAAAUGCGUAGAUAUCUGGAGGAACACCGGUGGCGAAGGCGGCAUCCUGGACCGAAACUGACACUGAGGCGCGAAAGCCAGGGGAGCAAACGGG